UAAAACGGUUGGGUAGAUAUGCAUUUGCUGUGUUUUGCACGUUACUCUUAGUUUCGUGGUAUGUCACAACAGUCAUAUUACGCCGAUUGCCAUCAGCCUUGUGGAACUUCGUUCACAAUCCGCGGGCAGCUGCGCGGGCGUUGCGUGCAGCUGUGCGGUCUGCACUCCCUGUUGAUCAGCAGGACGUGACAGAAACCGUGGGUACAGCUUUGCCGGACGCAUCGCCCGCACCGCUGAGGUACAGUCUCCCUGUAGCUUUGGGGGUCGGACUGGCUGUAGCUGAGGGGUACUACUUGCCUGUACAUGUAGGGACCGGAUUGUUUGCAGCUUUGUUUUAUUUUAUACACAGAUUUCAUUCAUCGGUGGCUACAGACCGAGAGUCUGCAGCUGUGACACACGCAUCCCCUGUAGCUUUGCGGAUCGCACUGGCUGUAGUUGCGGGGUACUUCUUGCCUGUAGCUGUAGCGAUCGGAUUGCCUGUAGUUUUGGGGAUUGGAUUGUUUGUAGCUUUCCGUACAGUAAAGAUGGAUUUCUCUUAGCUCUGCAGUCCUUCAGACAAAUAGUGAUGUCCAUGGUGAAAUGUCUUGUCAUAUCGAGGGACAGAUUGCUACCGUGGUUGAGGCAUGCCUUACCUACCAUUCGAAACUUGUCAUUCAUCUGGGAUGUGUCUACAGUAAUUAAAUCGUUCCCUGUGCAGAUUCACAUAUGAGCUGAAGAUUGUCUUUAAAUAACCGUACGCCUUGAAAUCGCCUUGAAAUUACAAAAAGUUUUCAUGAGUGAACCAUCUUCAUCGUGGGAACGUAAUGAGCAUGAAAUUUUCAUUCUACAACACUAAAUGUGUACGGUGGAGGACUUUCACCAAUAGAUAUUUUUGCCUUGUAUUUAAACUGUCAGUCUGGGAAGAAUCUGGUCGUCAGGGUAGUCUGUGAGAUAUUGCUUAAUAUAUUAUUUGUGAUUUUUAGGUUACUGGUAUGUUUUCAGUAGCAUUGCAGAAGAGAUGUUUUCUAUGGUGCAUUUGUUUAACUGUUUCAAAUAUUACAUAAGUUUUACACACAUUAUAAACAAGUUAUAUAUUGUUACCUUCAGCAUGAGACUGUAACUCAUGAUUUGUAUUGAUCUGUACUCAAGUCAAACUAAACAUUUAACAUAAAAUCAAAACAAUGAAAACUCAAGAAAGGUUACAGCUUUUAUACACCUUUAGAUAUGUUGGAAUUAAUUCAACUUGACUGAUUGUUAUAAUGUGAAUGUGUGUAAUAUCUAAUAAAACACACAUUGAUAGUA
Molecule: long non-coding RNA, 1281 nt
Organism: Protopterus annectens (West African lungfish)
Lineage: Eukaryota; Metazoa; Chordata; Ceratodontiformes; Protopteridae
Exons: 2
Source: RefSeq, a predicted model, not a curated record